This 468-nucleotide ribosomal RNA is filed under the name uncultured bacterium. Its description in RNAcentral is "partial 16S ribosomal RNA". It matches the Rfam family "Bacterial small subunit ribosomal RNA", at positions 28 to 507 of the family's 1533-position model. The record is from RNAcentral.
GAUGAACGCUGGCGGCGUGCUUAAUACAUGCAAGUCGAACGGACAGGCCAUGCUUUUGUGGGGUGCUCGAGUGGCGAACGGGUGAGUAACACGUGAGUAAACUGCCCUUGACUUUGGGAUAACUUCAGGAAACUGGGGCUAAUAUAGGAUAGGAGAUACUGCUGCAUGGUGGUGGAUGGAAAGUUUCGGCGGUUGGGGCUGGACUCGCGGCUUAUCGGCUUGAUGGUGGGGUAGUGGAGUACCAAGGCUUUGACGGGUAGCCUGCCUGAGAGGGUGACCGGCCACAAGGGGACUGAGAGACGGCGCAGACUCCUACGGGAGGCAGCAGUGGGGAGUAUGGCACAAUGGGCGGAAGUCAGUUGCAGCAACGCCGCGUGCGUGAUGAUGGCCUUCGGGUUGUAAACCGCUUUCUACUGUGACAAAGCGUGAGUGACGGUAAUUAGUAAAGAAGCACCGGCUAACUACGUG